CCUACGGGGGGCAGCAGUGAGGAAUAUUGGUCAAUGGACGCAAGUCUGAACCAGCCAUGCCGCGUGAAGGAUGAAGGCGUUUGCGUUGUAAACUUCUUUUAUCUGGGAAGCGGUACCAGAGGAAUAAGCACCGGCUAACUCCGUGCCAGCAGCCGCGGUAAUACGGAGGGUGCAAGCGUUAUCCGGAUUCACUGGGUUUAAAGGGUGUGUAGGCGGGUGUUUAAGUCAGUGGUGAAAUCUCCAGGCUCAACCUGGAAACUGCCAUUGAUACUAUUCAUCUUGAAUACUGUUGAGGUAGGCGGAAUAUAUCAUGUAGCGGUGAAAUGCAUAGAUAUGAUAUAGAACACCGAUUGCGAAGGCAGCUUACUAAACGUAUUGACGCUGAGGCACGAAAGCGUGGGGAUCAAACAGGAUUAGAUACCCUUGUAGUC
This 431-nucleotide ribosomal RNA is filed under the name uncultured bacterium. Its description in RNAcentral is "partial 16S ribosomal RNA". It matches the Rfam family "Bacterial small subunit ribosomal RNA", at positions 338 to 795 of the family's 1533-position model. The record is from RNAcentral.